GUGCCAGCAGCCGCGGUAAUACGUAGGUGGCAAGCGUUAUCCGGAAUUAUUGGGCGUAAAGCGCGCGUAGGCGGUUUUUAAGUCUGAUGUGAAAGCCCACGGCUCAACCGUGGAGGGUCAUUGGAAACUGGAAAACUUGAGUGCAGAAGAGGAAAGUGGAAUUCCAUGUGUAGCGGUGAAAUGCGCAGAGAUAUGGAGGAACACCAGUGGCGAAGGCGACUUUCUGGUCUGUAACUGACGCUGAUGUGCGAAAGCGUGGGGAUCAAACAGG
This 271-nucleotide ribosomal RNA is filed under the name uncultured Staphylococcus sp. RNAcentral's name for it is "partial 16S ribosomal RNA". It matches the Rfam family "Bacterial small subunit ribosomal RNA", at positions 505 to 776 of the family's 1533-position model. Lineage: Bacteria; Bacillati; Bacillota; Bacilli; Caryophanales; Staphylococcaceae. The record is from RNAcentral.